RNAcentral lists this ribosomal RNA (492 nucleotides) under uncultured bacterium. Its description in RNAcentral is "partial 16S ribosomal RNA". It matches the Rfam family "Bacterial small subunit ribosomal RNA", at positions 29 to 507 of the family's 1533-position model. The record is from RNAcentral.
AGUGAACGCUGGCGGUAGGCCUAACACAUGCAAGUCGAACGGCAGCACAGUAAGAGCUUGCUCUUACGGGUGGCGAGUGGCGGACGGGUGAGGAAUACAUCGGAAUCUACUUUUUCGUGGGGGAUAACGUAGGGAAACUUACGCUAAUACCGCAUACGACCUACGGGUGAAAGCAGGGGAUCUUCGGACCUUGCGCGAUUGAAUGAGCCGAUGUCGGAUUAGCUAGUUGGCGGGGUAAAGGCCCACCAAGGCGACGAUCCGUAGCUGGUCUGAGAGGAUGAUCAGCCACACUGGAACUGAGACACGGUCCAGAAUCCUAAGGGAGGCAGCAGUGGGGAAUAUUGGACAAUGGGUGCAAGCCUGAUCCAGCCAUACCGCGUGGGUGAAGAAGGCCUUCGGGUUGUAAAGCCCUUUUGUUGGGAAAGAAAAGCAGCAGGUUAAUACCCCGCUGUUCUGACGGUACCCAAAGAAUAAGCACCGGCUAACUUCGUG